GCAGAGGGCCGGGUGGCCGCUGCAGCUGCAUUGCGUGUGCACGCUGCAGAGGAAAGUCCGGGCUCCAUAGGGCACGAUGCCGGAUAACAUCCGGGCGGGGCGACCCGACGGAAAGUGCCACAGAAAACACACAGCCGUGGCCGUUUGGCUGCGGUAACGGUGAAAAGGUGCGGUAAGAGCGCACCGGCGGUGUGGUAACACACCGGCCUGGCAAACCCCAUCGGGAGCAAGAUCAAAGGGAGGGGUUGAGGCGGCCCGCGGACCCUCCCGGUAGAUCGCUUGAGGAGCCGGGUAACCGACUCCCCAGAGAGAUGGCCACACAAAGACAGAACCCGGCUUAUAGGCCCUCUGCUUCU
Molecule: non-coding RNA, 356 nt
Organism: Chthonomonas calidirosea T49
Lineage: Bacteria; Bacillati; Armatimonadota; Chthonomonadia; Chthonomonadales; Chthonomonadaceae
Rfam family: Bacterial RNase P class A
About the family: Ribonuclease P (RNase P) is a ubiquitous endoribonuclease, found in archaea, bacteria and eukarya as well as chloroplasts and mitochondria.
Source: Rfam